AAUUUCAAUCUAUUUUAAUGGAGGGGCCACAUUAUCACUCCUGUUUCUCUCCGAUCCGAUUACGCAUUGUCGUCAUAUUUCAUAAAUAAUAUCCUAAGUAUUAGAUUUUAUAAUUUUGUGUCUAGAAUUGAUUAAAUAAAACUCUGUUCCUCUUCUUUUGGAUGGUUGAUAUUAAUGACAUUUUUCACUCUUGCGGCACCGCCAUUCUAUUUAUGCAUUUUUGAAAUAAACUUGUCAGGCGUUGCCAAAGCUUUCUUGUUUCAUGUUUUAUUAGUUUUGCAGGGAUAUUGCCGGGAUCUGGUGUUUUUCCGCUUUUUAACAAUUUGCAGAUUUUUAUGACUUUGUUUAUACUUAGUUAUUUUGAUUGAGGAUGCUAUUACUUGGACAUUCUGUUGCUGUUGCUACUCCUGAAAAUCUGGCUUAUUUUCUUUUAGUAGUUUUGAAAAGUAACUCACCGCUGAAGCGAAAUUAGCGCAUUAUAUCUUUUUUCUUAUCCAAUCAUAGUAAUUUUAUAAUUAUCCAGCUUUUCGUACUUUUCUGUCUUCCCAGGAAGGAAUUAAUCCUGUUACAUUUUGUUUCCCGUGCUUUGUUUUUUUUCUUGGCAAUCUUUUUUCUAACUCUUGCUUGGGCUUUGUAUUCUGUUUUAUCUUUAUUGAUUUUUGAGUUAAAAAAUACUCUACUUAUUUCUUUUUUCUGUAAUGUCCUUCUCGAUUUCUUCAUCCAAUUAAUAGGGUUUCACUUAUUGUUUUUUCUCUUGGUGCCCCAGUGCUUCUUCCAUUGUUUCAUGAAUGUGAAAUGAAUAAAAAUUUUAUAAGAAAUUUAAAAAAAUUUAAAAUUUUUUAGGAAUAAACUACGAAUUUUCUAUAAAUUUUGAAUAAAUUUGGUAUGAAUUCUGCAUAAAUUUUGCAUGAAAUUUGUAUUUUUUUUUUAAUUUGUAUAUUAACUUUUACUAUGUGUAUAAUGUUAACAUAUUGUGUUAACAAAUCAGAUAAACUGCGAUUUAUGAAGUUUUUUUUAAGACAGAUAUUAGUUGUCCCAAAAAAUGAUCAAUAAAAUAAAUUUUUUGUUCACGAUAGUUACUCGGCAUUCGUACACAAGCAAAGUUUGGACUGAGACGUGACGUAAGCUGGACGGUCCAUAAGCAUUUAGGUCGCUUACUGCUGUCAGCUGAGGCGAACGUAAUAUCGAUAGAUGUGUAAUGACCACUAUAUCGAGAUUAUUUAACUGUCAUAAACUAUUUCAUUUCUUAAUUAAAUAUUUGUUUAAUAAAUUAAUAAAAUUUGACUGCGCGUAAUAAUUACCUUUAGAUACUAUUUUUCCACAUACAUAUAUCUAUGUGUUAUAUGUAUAUUAAGAACAGUUUCAACUCCGCUAUAGAUUUACAUUUAAGAAAAAAUUGUUUCAUUAAUAAAACUGUCUACUUACUUAUAUUAAGUACUAAAUACUAAAUAAAAAAUACUCCAUACAAAAUACUAAAUUCUUAACAGGUUUUACAAUCUGUUGUAAUUAGGGUUGCCAUUUGCCUUUUUUUCCCGGACACUGUCUUCUUUUUUAGGGCAUUCGAAAACGUUCAGAGGGAUUUUUCAAAGCAUUGAAAAUUUGUCCGGGAGAAUUAUGUGCGUCUGGGGUUUUAAAUAUUUUAAUUAUUUAUUUCCUUUACCAUGCUUUUUUACAAUGACACCACUUAUUGAGCGGCUGAGUAACAAUUAAAUAUAAUAAAAUUAAAAUACUUAAUAGACUUACAAGAGUAUACUCUUGAGGCGAAGACAAAAUCUUUUCAUUGGAAAAAAUAAUCCAUUAUCGAAAGGUGGUUUGUUUCUUCCACCUUUCGGAUCUGGUAGUGCUUUUUGUUGAAAAUUAUAAGUUAUGUUCUAAUUUCUUAAUACGUUAGUCCAUGAUUCUCGACUUAUUUUUAGCCAUCGAAUGGCUGUUUUACACUUCGUUUUCUUUUACUAAAUAUAAUUUGACAAAAUGGUUUCUAUAUUCUAUUAAAAAUGACUCAAUAAUUAAUCAUUAUCUAAAUCAAUAAAUUUAAAUAUUUUUAGAUGUACUCGUAUUAAUAGGCACAUUUUUAUUAUUGUCCGUAGAAUCUAAAUUUAUCAGGUAAUUUAUCAGUUAAUUUUACUCUUAUAUUUUUUUUAUUUGGACUAUUUGCAAACGGCUCGUAUGCAUAUGUAGUCUAUAAUAUAUUUUUCAAAAUAAACAUUAUUUCAUUACUCGUAUUAAUUUUAAUUAUUAAAUUUUAAAACUAAGUAGAUAAAUUUUACCUCAAUCUCAGUUGGAAAUAAUUUGUAUAUUUUCUUAGAUACAAUGUGAAACUCUUCAAAAACAGCGCUACAAAAAUGUUAUAAAGAUAAAGAUAAGAUUGUCUAUCCGAUCUGCAACAAAUGUUACUGUUGCAUAAUAUUUUUUUAUUGAAUUUAAUAUUUUCAGCUUAUUGUGAAAUACGCGCCACUUUUUUCAGUCUUGAAAUACAGUUACUAGCUAGAUACUGGUACUCAAAAGCAUCUAUAAGAUUUCUUCCGCAAAAGCUAUAUAUAUAAGUUAUUGGGAAAAUAAUACAUAUCUUAGCCAGGAUUGACCACGCUGGCUGAGAUAUUAUUUUUUGCAAAAGCUGUAUAUAAAUUAUUGGGAAAAUAAUACAUACCUUAGCCAGGACUGACCACCCUGGCUGAGGAAUUAUUUAUCGCAAUAAAUUAUUCGCGGUAAUUCGGAAAAGAGGGAAAACCUUAUAGAUGCAUACAGAUUACAGCAUCGAGUUAGUUUAGUGCAUCAUAGUAUCUAGUUAGUAACUAUUUCAAAACUGAUAAAUGUGUCAGUGCGGUUUAUAUCGCUACAAAUAUUAAAUUUACAAAAAAUUAUUAUUUAGCACCAAAUUCUUUUGUUGUAGAUCAAAUAAUGUAAUAAUGUAAUUUAAAAAAAUGCUGUUAUUAUGUAAGGUUGUUCACGGUGUUUAGUUUAACGAUUGUGUGUUCUAAUAUUUUUACUUUUUUUAGUUUAAGUAUUUUUACUUCUUUAUAUUUGAUUGAUUUUUUAUAACUAUGGCUGUUUCUCCCUCUAUGUGUGUGUCAUUUUUGUCGUUUCUUAUUAUAAUUUUUGAAAGUUAUUACGUGUUUAACGUAUAAUAUUAAGCUAUUUAGCAACUACAAAAAAAAACGCAUAUACAUUGAACAAAUAAAAAAAAUUAUUAAUAUAGGAAUUAUUUGCUAAUUAUGUGCUAUCUUUUAAUGACCAAAUUUUUUUUUGUUUUAACCAAAAAAAGUUACCAAUGGUAACUUUUGGGGGCAAACAAAUUUUUUUUAUUACCAAAGGCUAGCAAAUAAUUAGCAAAUAAUUUCUAUAUUAAUGAUUUUUUAAUUUGAUUAAAAUAUAUGGGUUUUUUCUCUAUUGGCUAGAUAGCUUAAUAUUAAGCUAUAAUCUAGCCACUGGUAUUUUUUUGGCUAAAGCAAAAAAAAUUUUUUUUUUAGCAAACAGUAACAAAUAAUUAGUAAAUAAUUCCAGUGUAGAAAUCGAUGUGUUCUGAUGAUGUGGCUCAGCCAGCUUAAUAUACCUUAAAACAUUCCAUCUUUACGGUUCUCAGGCAUAUUAUCUCUACAUAUCAUGAUAACAGAUAAAGUGACGUUAUAGUAGCGGGUCACUGCCAGUCACUAUGCGUUUACUUUACCGUGUUAGAUUCUUUUUUCUUUUUACACAUCAAGUCAGUACGUUAAAUUCCCUUUGCGUGUAGUUCGGGUUGAUAAUCGAUAAACGAGAGUGAUUAAUAAAAACAAUCGUUAUUUUCGUGCAUGGAUAUGAAAUGGAUGAUAAGCGCAUAAAUAUUUUCGCAAAUGUAUACAUUAUACAUUUAUACAUAUUGUACCAUGCUCCAAAAAAUAAAAAAGGUUCUUAUAAAUCUUAAAAAUUCCCCUACUUGUGUUACAUUUAAUUGUAUAAAUUAUAUGAAUUAUAUAAAAAAAUUACAAAUUAUAUAAAUUACGUAAAAAAUAUAUUGUAACUUCAGAUAAAAUGCAUCCAGAAAAAUUAUAUAUCGACUCACAAUUGUUGCUUAUGCCAAAAUACACAAUAAAAAUGUUUUAGGCUCUAAAAAUUUUUUCUGCCUUAAAGUUUCUAAAUUUAUUGUAGUUUUCGUAAUCUCGCCCAAAAUUUUUAUUAAGAAAGAAAUUUUUACUCGGAUUUUCUUUUGAUUGUAGAAUGGAUGUGAACUCAUUGAUCCCGGCGGAACUUCAAGGAUUGCAAUUAAAUGCAUGCGAAGUUCAAGCGGAUACAAUAAGAUGUCCGAAAAUUUGCGAAGAUUCACCCCGCAGGCUUUAUAUAGACAGUGCGUCAUUUUUUGCGGUGAGUCCAGAUGCAAGUAUGAGAAUCCGGCUGUCCACAUGGCAAUACAGAACAUCUUUUCGCAUUGGUGAGCACACAGACAUUUAUUAAAUUUUAUCAAAAUUUUAAAACAGUAAGCAUUAAAAAUAAGUAUUAAAGUAUUAAAAAUACUUACAUUAGUUUGCAAUAUUUAUUAAUUACUGUAAAUUUAUCUGAUUAUUCAGUUAUCAAGAAUAAUUUUAAAAAAUGUUGAUUGCUUUUUAAAUAUAUUUUUGCUAUAAUAUCAAAUUAGAUAUAGAAAGGUAUAACUUGUAGUUUAAUAAUUUUUAAAAAUCUAUAUUUAUCUUUAAUAACUUUCUUAUUAAUGGAUAAAUUAAAGCAAUAUAUUAAUAUUUUAUGUAUUCAUGUUUCAAAAAUCGAAAUCGUUUUCGCUAUCGUGUAAUACAUUGCAAAUAAUGUAACGUUUGAAAAAAUUACUUAUUCAAAUCAUUCUUACUGUAUCGUAUUUUACAUUUACAUGAUUAUAUAUAAAUUAUAAAAUAAUGAAAAAAUGAAAAAAUGAAACGGCAAAGACCAUCAGUUAGAUCGAAGUGUUUUACAAUAUAGUAUACAAUGCAGUAAACGCGUAUAUCUGUAGAGAGAGGAAGAAAAGUUUCAAAAUAAUUUGCUGCCACUCUUAUUAUUUCUUGAUAGAAAAGUUUUAAACUCGAGCUGUCUCAAUUACAAUUACGUGAAAAUUUGUGUUUAUUCCGGUGAUAUUGUAAUUCCGGAAUGUAGCAGUAGCAGCAAGAGCAGCGACAGCAAUGGGUUGUUUUGGCGAACUGAUUGGAAAGGAAGAACAUUCGUCAAAUUACGACGCGCGGCAGGAGAUCAAUCUCUGUCAUAUCGUUUCGGCAUGAAUUCGAUCCAGACGAUACGAUGAACGAGUUGCAUCUGCGGGCUACUUGGCACAGUUUACCGAUAUCUGGGUCAAAGUCACGUCCUCGGUGAGAAGGUACUUAGCCCGAAGCACUAUUCCGCCCGUGCCUUUGGAUCUGAUCACCUCCAGGCCGAGUUUGGCCAAGAUGAGUGAGACUUUAUUUAUGGAUUCACGUCGUCUCCAAAAUAAACAAUCUUUUUCCGUCGACGAAGGUAAUUGAAGCACAUCGAGAGACUACGCAUCGUACAUAAUUUGCAAAAUUCUAUUUUUUAAUUAAGUCUAUUUUUUAAUUAUAUUUUUUGAUCUACUUUUUACUUAGAAAAAAAUUUGCAAGUAUAUCUAAAAUCCUUUAAUUUCAAAAGUGAAAAUAUACCUUAGACAUUAUUUGAUAAGCCUUAGUUGUCAAAUAUUACUUACUUAUUUGCAUCUUUAGUAAAAUAAAUUUUCACAUUUUAUAAUAUUUUUAAGAAUUUUUUACAAUUUAAAUUAAUAAAAUAUAAAGAAUUAUAAAAACUAUCUUAAUCCUUUUCAGAUUUUAUAAGUUUUUAUCGAAAAUUAUAGAAUAAAAAAUUUUCCGGAAUGCACAUACAUAUAUGAAAAAUUUUAGAAAAAGUAAUAGGCUUUUGCAGCGGUUUGAAAUGUUAAUAAUUCAUAUAAAACAUUUGAAAAACUUAAUAGAAAAGUUAUAAAACUUAUAUAAAGGUUUUGAAAAAUACGAAAAUUUAUAAGAAAACAUUAUGUACUUAAGAUUAGUUGAUCAAAUAUGCGCUUGUAUUUUAGUUCUCUUAUUAUAACCAAAACUGUAAAAAGGAAAUUGCUUAUGAUUUGUGCUUAAUAAAGAUUUUAAACAUUUAGACAAUUAAUUUCAGAUAUUUUGAAUAACUCAUUUUUUAAUACUGAUUUUAAUUUUUUUAGUUUAAGUUGUGAAUACAACACACGAAUAAAUGAAUGUAGUUUACUAUUAUCAAAGGUCUCAUAAUUUUCAAAAUUUAUUGUCAAGUCACGUCGCCAAACUUGUUCACUAAUAGUGCAAGUGUUCCGGUUCUCACACACUUAUGACCCUGGUCAAGUCCUUGCUUCUCACAUUAAUUUGCGGUACUUCUUCUCAAUGUGGG
This is a long non-coding RNA of Monomorium pharaonis (pharaoh ant), 6348 nucleotides long. RefSeq lists it as uncharacterized. The record is from RefSeq and is a predicted model, not a curated record. NCBI's taxonomy places the organism in Eukaryota, Metazoa, Arthropoda, Insecta, Hymenoptera, Formicidae. The transcript has 2 exons.